GAUGAACGCUGGCGGCGUGCCUAAUACAUGCAAGUCGAGCGAACAGACGAGGAGCUUGCUCCUCUGACGUUAGCGGCGGACGGGUGAGUAACACGUGGAUAACCUACCUAUAAGACUGGGAUAACUUCGGGAAACCGGAGCUAAUACCGGAUAAUAUAUUGAACCGCAUGGUUCAAUAGUGAAAGACGGUUUUGCUGUCACUUAUAGAUGGAUCCGCGCCGCAUUAGCUAGUUGGUAAGGUAACGGCUUACCAAGGCAACGAUGCGUAGCCGACCUGAGAGGGUGAUCGGCCACACUGGAACUGAGACACGGUCCAGACUCCUACGGGAGGCGGCAGUAGGGAAUCUUCCGAAAUGGGCGAAAGCCUGACGGAGCAACGCCGCGUGGGUGAUGAAGGUCUUCGGAUCGUAAAACUCUGUUAUUAGGGAAGAACAAAUGUGUAAGUAACUAUGCACGUCUUGACGGUACCUAAUCAGAAAGCCACGGCUAACUACGUG
RNAcentral lists this ribosomal RNA (497 nucleotides) under uncultured bacterium. RNAcentral's name for it is "partial 16S ribosomal RNA". It matches the Rfam family "Bacterial small subunit ribosomal RNA", at positions 28 to 507 of the family's 1533-position model. The record is from RNAcentral.